AUUGAACGCUGGCGGCAGGCCUAACACAUGCAAGUCGAACGGUAACAGGAAGAAGCUUGCUUCUUUGCUGACGAGUGGCGGACGGGUGAGUAAUGUCUGGGAAACUGCCUGAUGGAGGGGGAUAACUACUGGAAACGGUAGCUAAUACCGCAUAACGUCGCAAGACCAAAAAGGGGGACCUUCGGGCCUCUUGCCAUCGGAUGUGCCCAGAUGGGAUUAGCUAGUAGGUGGGGUAACGGCUCACCUAGGCGACGAUCCCUAGCUGGUCUGUGAGGAUGACCAGCCACACUGGAACUGAGACACGGUCCAGACUCCUACGGGAGGCAGCAGUGGGGAAUAUUGCACAAUGGGCGCAAGCCUGAUGCAGCCAUGCCGCGUGUAUGAAGAAGGCCUUCGGGUUGUAAAGUACUUUCAGCGGGGAGGAAGGGAGUAAAGUUAAUACCUUUGCUCAUUGACGUUACCCGCAGAAGAAGCACCGGCUAACUCCGU
This 489-nucleotide ribosomal RNA is filed under the name uncultured bacterium. Its description in RNAcentral is "partial 16S ribosomal RNA". It matches the Rfam family "Bacterial small subunit ribosomal RNA", at positions 30 to 506 of the family's 1533-position model. The record is from RNAcentral.